UAUUUCUCUUUCCCAGAGCUGUACAAGAUUCUAAAGUCACAGGAGACUUGGGGUGGGAGAAAACAGGAAGACUGAAUUGCUACCAACUUACCAAGGCAAAGAACAAUAAAAGAAAGCAAACAAGAGUAAGAGGGGCUCCAAAGAAACGGUCAUCCUUCAAUAAAGACACCUCAAAACAUUCCCGGGGUUUCUGUGCUACCCAUCAGGAUGUGGAAAAGCCUCAGAAACUGAAAAAGAUCCAAAAGCCUAUUCUUUCAAGAAGAGAGGAAAGGAAAUCGAUACCUAUUCUGCCUCUACAAAUUCAAAACAGAGGGUCCUCCAAAACAGAAGAAUUUCUUUGUCUUCUUGUUGAAACUCAGCCCUGUUCUGCAGAGGAAGAGACAAGAGCCAGAUAUGAUAGAUCGUCAGUGGUACAGACCUUAUCCUGGAAGUAUGCAAAUGGAAAGACCUCCAGAAAUGCUCCACUUAAGGAAAUACAAGUGAGGCUGAAACACCUUCAGAAGAAAAAAGGCACUAAAUGUAAUCAGCUUAAAUUCUUUCGGUACUUUUAAAUUCAUUAGUAUUUCCAGGUAGUGCUACAAGUAAUGCUGAAGGGCUCUUGGAGAACAGAGGAUCUUGGGUAAAGCAAGUAUUUGCUAUAAUUUGAUUCUGAUGAGAACAAAAUAGAUGGAAUUGUCUAGAAUAUAUUUAUAGCAAAAAGACUUUAUUAAUCACAGCUUUUUGACCUGAUCAUCCUGGCAUACAGGUAUGCAGCUUGUCUCUACAUCCUCUUCUUUAACUGAUGACAACAUGAGAACAAAUUAAUUUGAAUAUGAAAAUGUUACUUAAUUAAGAAAACUCCUGUUAUUUUCCUAUUGCAGGAAGCAAACUUCAUCUAACAAGUAUGAGACUUUCACGUAUGUAGAAUUUUAACAUAUUAAAGAACUUUACUUGAAUAUUUAUGCUCCAUUUUAGACAUGAAACUUGCAUAAUAGCAUAUAAAGACAGCCAUAUUUCAAUAAAAAUAUUAAUUUUUAAAAAUAUCUUUUAAUCUCUGCAACUAUUCUUCAUGAACAGCUGAUGCCAUCAAUAUGCAAUUUAUUCUGAGUAUACUAAAUAUAAAACCAAAGUUUUUUGUUUAAUCUUUUGAAAAAAGACUAUGAUGAUUUGCCUUUCCCCAAAAUUUCAGACCUAUCAACCUCUCUGGCAAAAUCAAUGAAAUGAACACAGUUAAAAAAUCGAUUUCUAUUGAUCCAUCUACAUCUUUUUUCAAAGCAAAAAUAUUCCAAUCAUGGAAUGAUCUAAUAAGAAACAGAAAGAAACACGUUAAUAAUUAAAAUUAGUCUUGUGAGUCAAACCAAUACAAACAGUCUUAUCAACCAGCAAUACGUAAAUAAGAAUAACCAAAGGAGUGUGCCAGUUUAAGUUAUGGUUUUGGACUUUCAUGUUAAUGCUCUGUUCAGGAAAAUGAGCAAUUUAACUCAGUACUCAGAGCUCCAUCCUCCAGUCUUUUGCACAACACUGAAAUUCAUACAAACCCAAGAUUCAGAUUACAAAGAGGCAGAUUUCUUCUCUGCUGUCAACAGUUAUAUAUUUGUGUUGGUUGGCUUGACUCCUUGAUCUCAGGGAAAUCGUCCCGAAGACUACAGGCAGAUCACAACCGAAGAAGAAGAAGAGCAAAGAAUAUUUAAGCAGCAGAAUUGCUCAGUGUGAGCAUGUGGGUGUUUGCCUGCAAUACCGAGAUUCUGAUGUUUUCUUUUCAAGUUCCUUUCUAGCCUGAACAGGUUAGAUUUAAAAACAGGCCUUAAAGCAGCAUGGUAUUUCAACUGAACAGAUUAUUCUAAUCAUUAAAUAAUUGACCAAAGUUGUUGAAGUUUUAUUUUGGCUUUCACCUGAAAGUAGGCAAAGCAAACCAGAUAAUUUUAUACCAUACUUUUCUUUCUUUUCUUUUCAAUAUAUGUUUCUUGAAAGCAAGAGAAGCAUUGAUUUGAUCCCAAAGCAAUAUUCAACCUGUAUUGUGUCAAGCAGGCACUUCUCCCCUGAUGGAUGGUCUAAUCCAUGUUAGAACAUCUCUGAUGCUGGAAAUUAGAAAGGAAAAUUCUUUGUUCUUUGUGGUUACCAGCAUUUUAGUGCAAAUCCCUUCAGGUAUGUGUAUUAUCCAACAGCAACAUUAUUCCACACAUUCUACCAGAACUCUCCAUGACACACUCCCAGAGUUAAGAGGAGACAAGCUCUGGUAUCAGAAUAUUCACCUGAAAACUGAUUUCUGAAUCCAGUGCAAUUUAUAUAACAUAAACUUCAACUGCAAUGUUUAGGACUUAAAAAGUAAACAGGGGAAAAUACUGUAAGACUUUUGAAAUUAUCCUAGCUCGGUGCAAGGGUCUUUUACUACAGAUUAAAUACUGUUUUUUUCAACAUAUCUGUUCUGAACCCACUGCAUGUCAUUUCCUGUUGGCAAUAAAGGAUUGCUGUGGCACACCAUAUAUUUCAUCCCAUUUUCACCACCACAGAGUUUGCACACGAUGCUCAGAUGCAGAUAACUAUGCCAAGAAGGUGGAAGAGAGUUCUAAGUGUUUACUCUUGGUAAACUUAGUGUCCAGUUAAAUGAAGUGACAUCUUCCAGCUGAAGUGGAAACUCUAGCAAGACCUGUAUCAGCCUAAUGAACAGCAUUACACACCUGCAACAUUUGGGACAAAUGUAAUCAGCAAUAUUUUUCUUCCUUCUUGAGUCAUUUCCAUCAUUAAAAAU
Taeniopygia guttata (zebra finch) is the source of this 2728-nucleotide long non-coding RNA. NCBI's taxonomy places the organism in Eukaryota, Metazoa, Chordata, Aves, Passeriformes, Estrildidae. The record is from Ensembl.